ACGGGAGGCAGCAGUGGGGAAUAUUGCGCAAUGGGGGAAACCCUGACGCAGCAACGCCGCGUGAAGGAAGAAGGUCUUCGGAUUGUAAACUUCUGUCGCAAGGGAAGAAGACAGUGACGGUACCUUGUGAGAAAGUCACGGCUAACUACGUGCCAGCAGCCGCGGUAAUACGUAGGUGACAAGCGUUGUCCGGAUUUACUGGGUGUAAAGGGCGCGUAGGCGGGCUUGCAAGUCAGUUGUGAAAUACCGAGGCUUAACCUCGGGGCUGCAAUUGAAACUGUAAGUCUUGAGUGUCGGAGAGGAAAGCGGAAUUCCUAGUGUAGCGGUGAAAUGCGUAGAUAUUAGGAGGAACACCGGUGGCGAAGGCGGCUUUCUGGACGAUAACUGACGCUGAGGCGCGAAAGUGUGGGGAGCAAACAGGAUUAGAUACCCUGGUA
This 437-nucleotide ribosomal RNA is filed under the name uncultured Clostridium sp. RNAcentral describes it as "partial 16S ribosomal RNA". It matches the Rfam family "Bacterial small subunit ribosomal RNA", at positions 341 to 792 of the family's 1533-position model. Lineage: Bacteria; Bacillati; Bacillota; Clostridia; Eubacteriales; Clostridiaceae. The record is from RNAcentral.